UUGAACUGAAGAGAAGAAUGAAGCUUGUACAUAUAGGGGCAAGCUCUUGAAGAUCUUAAGAAGAGUUCUAUGAAGCUUCAGAAGUGAUGAGAAGCUGAUACAAGAUUGGGGCAAUGUCCAAGAAGGGUUCUAAUCAGACAUGGGAGAACAUUGGAGGAGUUUAGGCUGCAAUGGUUAAUGAGAAAGUUAGGGCGAUCCGUACGGACGGCCGUACGGACCGUACGGACCAGGGCGUCCCAAAGCUUAUCAUCUCGACCAUUUAAGCAUAGUUGAGGAAUGUGCAAGCUUAGGGCACAAUGUGUACGGCCAGGAAGUCCGUACAGCAUGGUCUGGUCAUGACUUGGGUCACAAGGCAUGGAGAAACUCAUUUGGACCUUAUACAUGAAGAAGGGAUCAAAAUGGCAUCUUGGAUGGCCUUGGAAAGGAUCAGGCGAGAUGCUGUCCGUGUAUGGAUAAGGUCUUCACUCCUAUUGGCUUAUUCAGUCCACAAGACAGCUCAUGACAGCCUGUGUAAAGACCAGGAACGCCCAAGCUUCCUAUUGGCCAAGCAUGUGAAGCUUAUGGUCCAUAGAAUUCAAAAUAAGGCUCCUCCUUGUUUGACUUCACAUGUGUGAUGUAUCUGACUGUAAACCCUAGUAGAAAACAGUCUGUCCUAUUGAAAUAAGAGGCAGAGACGAUUUGUAAGCUCUAAGUGAGUAAGGGGGUUUCCCUUCUCCUUCAUGAAACUAAGUCUUGUUCUUGAAUCUAAACACCAAUCUCUAGUCUCUUAUUCUCUCAGUCUCUCUAGUCUCUUAAUCUUUGUUCCUAAGUCUUUUAUACACUCUCAUUAAUUCCUCUUUCUAAAUUACCUAGAACAAGCUCUAAUCUUUCUCUAUUUGAGUUUAUACACACACACAUACAAUCAGAGUAAAGAUCUCUAUAAAAAUCAUA
This 930-nucleotide long non-coding RNA is filed under the name Brassica rapa (field mustard). Its description in RNAcentral is "long non-coding RNA (BRAP_LNC008023)". Lineage: Eukaryota; Viridiplantae; Streptophyta; Magnoliopsida; Brassicales; Brassicaceae. The record is from RNAcentral.